RNAcentral lists this ribosomal RNA (545 nucleotides) under uncultured Ascomycota. RNAcentral describes it as "SSU rRNA". It matches the Rfam family "Eukaryotic small subunit ribosomal RNA", at positions 548 to 1098 of the family's 1831-position model. Lineage: Eukaryota; Fungi; Ascomycota. The record is from RNAcentral.
UUGGAGGGCAAGUCUGGUGCCAGCAGCCGCGGUAAUUCCAGCUCCAAUAGCGUAUAUUAAAGUUGUUGCCGUUAAAAAGCUCGUAGUUGAACCUUGGACCUGGCUGAUCUGUCCUCCUAAUCGAGCGCACGGAUUCGGUCGGGUCUUUCCUUCUGGCUAGCCCUAUGCCCUUCACUGGGUGUAGUGGGGAACCAGGACUUUUACCUUGAAAAAAUUAGAGUGUUCAAAGCAGGCCUUUGCUCGAAUACAUUAGCAUGGAAUAAUAGAAUAGGACAUCGGUUCUAUUUUGUUGGUUUCUAGGACCGCUGUAAUGAUUAAUAGGGAUAGUCGGGGGCGUCAGUAUUCAAUUGUCAGAGGUGAAAUUCUUGGAUUUAUUGAAGACUAACUACUGCGAAAGCAUUCGCCAAGGAUGUUUUCAUUAAUCAGUGAACGAAAGUUAGGGGAUCGAAGACGAUCAGAUACCGUCGUAGUCUUAACCAUAAACUAUGCCGACUAGGGAUCGGACGGUGGUUUUUUUAUGCCCCGUUCGGCGCCUUACGGGAAAC